CAUACAGUAGCUUAAUACAAAGCAUUAAAUUUUUAAUUUAAGGAUAAGUUAAACUUAUGUGUGA
RNAcentral lists this transfer RNA (64 nucleotides) under Pollicipes pollicipes. RNAcentral's name for it is "tRNA-Lys". It matches the Rfam family "tRNA". From Rfam's summary of the family: Transfer RNA (tRNA) molecules are approximately 80 nucleotides in length. The record is from RNAcentral. Lineage: Eukaryota; Metazoa; Arthropoda; Thecostraca; Pollicipedomorpha; Pollicipedidae.